GUAACGGCGAGUGAAGCGGCAACAGCUCAAAUUUGAAAUCUGGCUCUUUUAUAGAGGGUCCGAGUUGUAAUUUGCAGAGGAUGCUUUUGGCAUGGUACCUUCCGAGUUCCCUGGAACGGGACGCCAUAGAGGGUGAGAGCCCCGUCUAGUUGGAUACCUAAGCCUCUAUAAAGCUCCUUCGACGAGUCGAGUAGUUUGGGAAUGCUGCUCAAAUUGGGAGGUAUAUGUCUUCUAAAGCUAAAUACCGGCCAGAGACCGAUAGCGCACAAGUAGAGUGAUCGAAAGAUGAAAAGCACUUUGAAAAGAGGGUUAAAUAGUACGUGAAAUUGCUGAAAGGGAAGCGCUUAUAACUAGACGUAGGAAUUUCCAAUCACCUAGUGUUUUUUUUACUGGGGUACUUGGAAUUUUCUAGGCCAGCAUCGGUUCACCAUAAGAAAUAAAGACGCCUGGAACGUAGCCCCUCUUGGGGGGUGUUAUAGCCUAGCGUGUAAUGUCUUGUGUUAGUGGACCGAGGUCUGCGCACUGCAAUGAUGCUGGCAUAAUGGUUAUUAGUGACCCGUCUUGAAACACGGACCAAGGAGUCGUCCUCGUAUGCAAGUGUUUGGGUGUUAAAACCCGUACGCAAAAUGAAAGUGAACGUAGGUGAGAGCCUUUUUAGGUGCAUCACCGACCGAUCCUGAUGUUCUACGGAUGGAUUUGAGUAAGAGCAUACGGGGCCGGACCCGAAAGAAGGUGAACUAUGCCUGCGUAGGGUGAAGCCAGAGGAAACUCUGGUGGAGGCUCGCAGCGGUUCUGACGUGCAAAUCGAUCGUCAAACG
Molecule: ribosomal RNA, 818 nt
Filed under: Ophiocordyceps australis
Lineage: Eukaryota; Fungi; Ascomycota; Sordariomycetes; Hypocreales; Ophiocordycipitaceae
Description: eukaryotic LSU rRNA
Rfam family: Eukaryotic large subunit ribosomal RNA
Source: RNAcentral